CAGUCCGCGGGAAUACGUAGGGCGCAAGCGUUAUCCGGAAUUAUUGGGCGUAAAGAGCUCGUAGGCGGUUUGUCGCGUCUGCCGUGAAAGUCCGGGGCUCAACCCCGGAUCUGCGGUGGGUACGGGCAGACUAGAGUGAUGUAGGGGAGACUGGAAUUCCUGGUGUAGCGGUGAAAUGCGCAGAUAUCAGGAGGAACACCGAUGGCGAAGGCAGGUCUCUGGGCAUUAACUGACGCUGAGGAGCGAAAGCGUGGGGAGCAAACAGGAUUAGAUACCCCUGUAGUCCCUGUCUCUUAUACAC
This 301-nucleotide ribosomal RNA is filed under the name uncultured bacterium. Its description in RNAcentral is "partial 16S ribosomal RNA". It matches the Rfam family "Bacterial small subunit ribosomal RNA", at positions 512 to 809 of the family's 1533-position model. The record is from RNAcentral.